This is a small nucleolar RNA of Acomys russatus (golden spiny mouse), 131 nucleotides long. RefSeq annotates it as small nucleolar RNA SNORA17. NCBI's taxonomy places the organism in Eukaryota, Metazoa, Chordata, Mammalia, Rodentia, Muridae. The record is from RefSeq and is a predicted model, not a curated record. The transcript has a single exon.
ACUGCCCCUAGAGGCAUUGCAGGUGUGGCUGUAGUGACAAAUGUGAGUCAGUAGGCGGCAGAGAGGAGAAAGGCUGUGUCUACAUCCAGUAUUCUGACCUAAGACACCUGAAUGAUUAGCAGCUUAAUGGU